AUUUGGUUAGGGAUAGCAGUGGAAAGCCUUUUUAAAACUUUGUUACAGACAAAUUAGGCAAGAACUUAAAUUGGACAGAUUGCUUCGCCCUUCGUCCUCGCAAUGACGUUUUAAAAAGAUUGUAGCGUAUAGCCCGACCCCUU
Molecule: small RNA, 143 nt
Filed under: Mariniflexile fucanivorans
Lineage: Bacteria; Pseudomonadati; Bacteroidota; Flavobacteriia; Flavobacteriales; Flavobacteriaceae
Description: Flavo-1 RNA
Rfam family: Flavo-1 RNA
Source: Rfam by way of RNAcentral